Pipra filicauda (Wire-tailed manakin) is the source of this 935-nucleotide long non-coding RNA. RefSeq lists it as uncharacterized. Lineage: Eukaryota; Metazoa; Chordata; Aves; Passeriformes; Pipridae. The record is from RefSeq and is a predicted model, not a curated record. The transcript is spliced from 2 exons.
GGAGGAGGAGGAGGGUGUUAUUUGGGAACAGCAGCAGCCAAAAAAACCAAGGGAAAUAAAGCAGCUCCUCGUGUGUGGCACCGAAGGCAGAGGAUGGGGAGGCACUCCAGGAGCACCAGGCUGGAAGGUGAGUUUGGAGCAGUCCUGGUGUGCCUUUGCCAUGGCCAAUUUUCCUCCUUUCUCCAUAGGAUGGGCCCGUUCCCAGCUGCAAACGGGGGUCACCUCACAGCGAGCACCCCCGUGAACUGGGAAGUUCGGGAAGGAAGGAGCGGGGACUGAGCAACAACUCCCAGGCAGGGCUGGCAUCGGGCCCCCAGGGCUGAGCUGGGGCUGCCCGCCGGCGUUUAUCCCUUUAUUUCCCUGCUGGAAAGCGGCUCCAUCAGCUCCGGCAUCAUCUCUCCAUCCUGAGCGAGCCGUGCUGGGCUGGGAGGGGAGGGCGCAGCUGGAUCCCAGAAUCCCUGUCUGAGCCACCGCAGGGAGCCCGGCAGCCCCUUCCCGGCGCCUCCUCCCUCACCAUGCUGGACAUUUUCAUCCUGAUGUUUUUCGCCAUCAUCGGCCUCGUGAUCCUCUCCUACAUCAUUUACAUGCUCUAGGGAGGCGCCGGGGUGGGGAUGCGGCUCAGCACCAGCCUGGCAGCCCGAGCGCCAUCCAGCCUCUGCCUGGUCCGUGUCCCUCGGAGCCUUCUGGAAGGGCGUUAACCCCUGCGAGCCCAGCGCGGAGCACGGAGGGGCCGGGGGGGGGAAUGGGGAGGAGGCUGCGAGGGGAUACCCCUCUGCCGGGACCUGGGUUGUCCCGGGGGGACGGGGAGGGUCCUGCCCCCCCCUUGGGAUGAGCCCGUCCGAAGCUGGUCAUCUGGGUUUCAUUUCAGGAGAGCACUUCUAUUUUUAAUGAAAAAUAAAGUGGGAUGAAAUGGAAUAAAGAGGAAUGGCACGGGA